RNAcentral lists this unclassified non-coding RNA (157 nucleotides) under uncultured Roussoella. RNAcentral describes it as "sequence contains ITS2". RNAcentral also lists the same sequence under 1 other name. The record is from RNAcentral. Lineage: Eukaryota; Fungi; Ascomycota; Dothideomycetes; Pleosporales; Thyridariaceae.
AAACCCUCAAGCUCAGCUUGGUAUUGGGUGCUUGUCCCGCCUCUGCGCGGCGACUCACCUUAAAAACAGUGGCAGCCCGCAUCCGCCGGCCGUGAGCGCAGCACAGUCGCACUCAACAGUCUUGGCAGGUCGGCUAACCAAAAGCUUACUUUUCUUA